UACGAAGGGUGCAAGCGUUGUUCGGAUUUAUUGGGCGUAAAGCGCGCGCAGGCGGACAGUUAAGCCAGAUGUGAAAUCUCGGGGCUCAACCCCGAAACUGCGUCUGGAACUGGUUGUCUAGAGUCUCGGAGGGGGAAGGGGAAUUUCGCAUGUAGGGGUAAAAUCCGUAGAGAUGCGAAGGAACACCAGUGGCGAAGGCGCCUUCCUGGACGAGUACUGACGCUGAGGCGCGAAAGCGUGGGGAGCAAACAGG
This 253-nucleotide unclassified non-coding RNA is filed under the name uncultured Bacteriovoracaceae bacterium. RNAcentral describes it as "contains 16S-23S intergenic spacer region". It matches the Rfam family "Bacterial small subunit ribosomal RNA", at positions 524 to 776 of the family's 1533-position model. Lineage: Bacteria; Pseudomonadati; Bdellovibrionota; Bacteriovoracia; Bacteriovoracales; Bacteriovoracaceae. The record is from RNAcentral.